Long non-coding RNA from Belonocnema kinseyi, 863 nucleotides. RefSeq lists it as uncharacterized. Lineage: Eukaryota; Metazoa; Arthropoda; Insecta; Hymenoptera; Cynipidae. The transcript has 3 exons. The record is from RefSeq and is a predicted model, not a curated record.
AAAAUUUUGGAGAUCCUGCCUCUUUUGUCAGCAGUCUUCGAGGAAGAAUCUUACAGUUUUAUUAUAAAACAUUGAGUUGUGAUUUUGUGUAAUUUUCGUUUCGCGUGGAUAUGAAUGUGGUUCCUGCCCAUUUGAGUAUGAUCUAUGAUUAUUCUGGCAAACAUUUGGAAUCGUGAAAAUGGUUACGUUUAUCUCAAAUUACGCCUCACCGUCGUUUACAACGAGAGUCUGAACUUUUGUACUAAAAUUUACAAUACAUUUUAUUUUCUCUUGGAAAACUGAACAAUUUCUUCAUUUUUUAAUGGCUUCAAUUGUAGAAUUCUGAACUUUCAUGCAAAUCGAAUGGAAGAAUUCUCUGGAGAGAAUAAAGAUUUCCUAAUAAAAAACCAGCAAUUAUAAUGACACACUUUAUCAGAAGGAUGACAACUCGAAUAAACAGUCCUAGGAUGUUUAAAAAAAACUAGAUUUGGGAAUGUCUCUCUUUAAAGUAACCUAAGAAAAUAUUAUAUUAGCCGUUCUUAAGUGAAUCCACUUUUUAUAUUUACCUAAUCAGGAAUGGAUCGUCGAUCCGACGUCGUCACCGUCAUACCAUCGUCGAGUUGAACUCAUCGUCGAAUUUAAAGUCGCUUUCGAACAAAAUUAUUAUGCUCUAAAAAUACUUUAUUUAUUGUAAUUUAAGUGAAUCCUGCUCAAUAUUUUCCGAAUUUGCAAGAUAUGAAAAUCGAUGUCGAAAUGACAUCGAAGCGACGUCAUUUCGACUUAUAAAAUAUGUCAGAGUCAAAAAGAUGUGGAAAAUCAUUUUUACAUAUAGAAUAAUGAUUAUCAAUAUUUGAAUAAUUUUAAGUUUGAAGGAUGAAUUCCAU